This 1402-nucleotide unclassified non-coding RNA is filed under the name uncultured Neocallimastigales. RNAcentral's name for it is "partial contains small subunit ribosomal RNA, internal transcribed spacer 1, 5.8S ribosomal RNA, internal transcribed spacer 2, and large subunit ribosomal RNA". The stretch from base 625 to 1402 matches the Rfam family "Eukaryotic large subunit ribosomal RNA", at positions 1 to 628 of the family's 3401-position model. The record is from RNAcentral. Lineage: Eukaryota; Fungi; Neocallimastigomycota; Neocallimastigomycetes; Neocallimastigales.
UUUCCGUAGGUGACCUGCGGAAGGAUCAUUAAUAAAUGGUCUACGUUUUUUAAGUAGACGCUUAAUAAUCCUACCCUUUGUGAAUUUGUUUGUUUGAAAUAAUUUUUUUUAAAAUUAUUGAAUGUCUUUCCCUGUUGAAUUGGUUGUCUUUAAUGGCAAGUGAUUCGCAGGGGAGUGUCAAUAAUUUUUAAAAGACCUUUUUUUAAAAUUAAACUUUUUGUAUUCAUUUGUCUAAAAAUUAUUUUUAUAAUAUAAAAACGACUUUUGACAAUGGAUCUCUUGGUUCUCGCAACGAUGAAGAACGCAGCAAAAUGCGAUAAGUAGUGUGAAUUGCAGAAUACGUGAAUCAUCGAAUCUUCGAACGCAUAUUGCACUUUUUUAGUUUACUAAAAAAGUAUGUCUGUUUGAGUAUCAGUAAAAUAUUCUCAUAAAAAACAUUGUUUUUUAUGGUUAUGAGUGUUUUACAACGAUACAAGUUGUUUCACUUUAAAUUUUUUUAAAAUUUGAAUUUUUCUAAUUUUAAAAUAAAAUUGGAUAAAAUUUUCCCGUAAAAAGGAAUAACCUAAACAAUUUUAAUUUUUGAUUAGAAAAUCCAAACUAAAAGGAAAAUUUAACUAAAUAACUUGAUCUCAAAUCAGAUAAGAGUACCCGCUGAACUUAAGCAUAUCAAUAAGCGGAGGAAAAGAAACUAACAAGGAUUCCCUUAGUAACGGCGAGUGAAGCGGGAAGAGCUCAAAUUUGAAAUCUUCAAGGUUUUACCUUGACGAAUUGUAGUUUAAAGAAGUGUUUUCUGUUGAAGUUUUGGUAAAAGUUCUUUGGAAUAGGACAUCAUAGAGGGUGAGAAUCCCGUAUUUGACCAUUAUUUUCAGCUGUGUGAUACACUUUCAAAGAGUCGGAUUGUUUGGGAAUGCAGUCCAAAAUGGGUGGUAAAUUUCAUCUAAAGCUAAAUAUUGGCGAGAGACCGAUAGCGAACAAGUACCGUGAGGGAAAGAUGAAAAGAACUUUGAAAAGAGAGUUAAACGGUACGUGAAAUUGUCAAAAGGGAAGCGUUUGACACCAGUGUUGUUUUCUCGAAAAUCAAUUAAAAAAAGUUGGAUUUUGUGUUGUAUUGACCUUAACAGCUUGCUUCACUCUUUUCCUGCUUUUUUUAAUGCACUUUUCGUUUAACAAGUCAACAUCAGUUUCUUUUGUUGUAAAAGGGUCAUUGGAAGGUGGCUUUCUCUUCGGAGAAAGUGUUUAUAGCCUUUGAUCUCUGCAAUCGGAGAGACUGAGGUCUGCAGCGUAGAUCCUUCGGGGUUAGAUACAUUUGUGCUAAGCUACAGCUUUUCAUAGACAACUUGUUGACUAUGUUUAGUCUUGUGACUUACCCGCUUAUGCUAUUUUACCUACGCUUAGGAUGUUG